Molecule: ribosomal RNA, 432 nt
Filed under: uncultured bacterium
Lineage: Bacteria
Description: partial 16S ribosomal RNA
Rfam family: Bacterial small subunit ribosomal RNA
Source: RNAcentral
AACGAACGCUGCGGCAUGCCUAACACAUGCCAGUCGGACGAGACCUUCGGGUCUAGUGGCGCACGGGUGCGUAACGCGUGGGAACCUGCCCUUAGGUUCGGAAUAACUCCCCGAAAGGGGUUCUAAUACCGGAUAAUGUCUUCGGACCAAAGCUUUAUCGCCUUUGGAUGGGCCCGCGUUGGAUUAGCUAGUUGGUAGGGUAAAAGCCUACCAAGGCGACGAUCCAUAGCUGGUCUGAGAGGAUGAUCAGCCACACUGGGACUGAGACACGGCCCAGACUCCUACGGGAGGCAGCAGUGGGGAAUAUUGGACAAUGGGCGAAAGCCUGAUCCAGCAAUGCCGCGUGAGUGAUGAAGGCCUUAGGGUUGUAAAGCUCUUUUACCCGGGAUGAUAAUGACAGUACCGGGAGAAUAAGCUCCGGCUAACUCCGUG